AUGAAAGGCAGGACGGGAGUUAAAGAGAGCAAAAGCCAUUGGUGUUGCAGUGCUCUUUACUGUUAUGUCGAAGAGAUUGCCAACUUCAGUACACAGUCAGAGGUGCAGAUACAUCUUGACUACAGUUUGUAUGUCCCAUUUUCAAUGAUCCUGAAGUCCCAAUCACUGCUUUUUGAAGACGUACAGAUUCAGCAAGCCCCUGUUGGAAGGCACUGGCAAGUUCCAGGAGUGAAUUGUCAAGCAACAAGCCCAAAAAAAGUCUUCAGGGAAUCUGAAUCACAACUGAAGGCAGCACUGCUCCCUUGCAGCCUGUUCCCCACCAUCUUCCCAGUACUUCUCUGUGUCUGGAAAUCAGAUAUCAGCUUCGAAAUCUUCUACAUCCUCCAGACAUGUCUACCUGUCAGAGCAUUUUUCUUAAGCUGAUCACCAAACAUGUUAUGUGACAAGAAUGACAAGAUUUCAUUCUUGUACACAUAAAAAAAUUAUACCUUUUUUAGUGUGAGAAACCUUGAAAGAACAAUCUGUCUUCAAGACACGGGCAUAACCACAGGAUGUUCAGAUUUACGAGCAUGGAUAGCAGCAAUUUCUAAGUAUGUGGGUACAUCUAGCAAGUUGACAGCAAUCACUCCAUCCCUUGGUCUGGGGUUUGUCUGGUGGUGUGUCCUGUAAGCAAUGCACUGAGGAAAGGAUCCAUUGGUGACAUCACAAAUCAGUUCUGCUGCUGCAGCCUCAUGAAGUCGCUGCACAGUGAGGCAGAAAACAGGCUGGCCCUGCUCCACCUAGCGACGCAAAAGAGAAGUGCUGUGGGAGUGAGGAAAGGACAUUUCUCGCAAGGAGACUGAGAAAUGGAAGAGUUCAAGAAGUGCUGCCUCGCUGCUUACUAGUUAAACAUCAGGAUUUAUUGCCAAGUGUGGGAGUGUGGUUUGUAACUAGCCCUAAGAGACACACUGAAGGUUGUAAGAAGAUGACAAUUAUUUGGAUGAGUCUCAGUUAACCUAUUGCUGUGCAAAGUGAAGGCUGGUGAGACUACAACCUGGGAAAACAUACAAGGCACAGGCUAAUCUCUCCAACGCAUUAGAAAGCAAAGAAUAACCAUGACCUCUGUGAAGUCAAUGGGAGUUUUUCCAGUGACUCCAGUGAAGCCAGUAUUUCACCCUGAGUUUUCCGUAAUGAAGGCCAAAUUGUCCCCUUGAUUUAUGAACCAUAGGAUUUUUCCAGCUUCAGUGCACAUUGUAUCUUAUUUUCUUCCAAGAAAACAUUAAAAAGCUGAAGUAUGCCUCUAUGAAACAAAGGCAGAUAUACAAAUGUAUUUCAAUAAAAUAAAGUUUAUAAUAGUGAGGCA
RNAcentral lists this long non-coding RNA (1342 nucleotides) under Numida meleagris (helmeted guineafowl). RNAcentral's name for it is "lncRNA (ENSNMEG00000002101.1)". The record is from RNAcentral. Lineage: Eukaryota; Metazoa; Chordata; Aves; Galliformes; Numididae.